RNAcentral lists this transfer RNA (52 nucleotides) under Alectorobius fonsecai. RNAcentral's name for it is "tRNA-Ser". Lineage: Eukaryota; Metazoa; Arthropoda; Arachnida; Ixodida; Argasidae. The record is from RNAcentral.
AAGACCAUAAAUAGAGCUGCUAACUCUAAAAUAAUGAAACCAUUUGGUCUUU